RNAcentral lists this long non-coding RNA (1197 nucleotides) under Marmota monax (woodchuck). The record is from RNAcentral. Lineage: Eukaryota; Metazoa; Chordata; Mammalia; Rodentia; Sciuridae.
AUUAGGGAAGAAAGGAAGGAUGGGUCUUAGAUUAAAAGGACCCAUAGACUGCCAAACAGGAGAGUUAGGAAUGAAUAUAUACCUAAGCACAUUAAAAUAAAAUGUAAGUCGGGCUCACUGGCACACCAGCAGCUCAGGAGACUGAGGCAGGAGGAUUGAGAGUUCAAAGCCAGCCUCAGCAAAAGUGAGGCACUAAACAACUCAGUAAGACCCUGUCUCUAAACAAAAUACAAAAUAGUGCUGGGGGUGCGGCUCAGUGGGCAAGGGCCCCUCAGUUGUUCAAUCCCCAUGCCAAAAAAUAAUAAUAAAUAAAUAAAUAAAAUGGAAAAACAGCCCAUGAAAAACAUCAGAAAGACAAAGAGAAAAUUGUAAAGGCUUACUAGAAGAGCAAAUUGAUACCACCUCACUCAAUAGAACCAUUGGACACAAGGUAAAAAACAGAGUACCAAAGGAAAGAACACUGACUUCAGAGUUUUUUAAUAACUUUAUUUUAUUUAUUUAUUUUUGGGGGCAGUGCUGAAGAUUGAACUCAGUGCCUCAUAUGUGCUAGGCAAGUACUCUGCCAAUGAGUCACAACCUCAGCCCUUGACUCUAGAAUUUUAUAUUUAUUCAAAUUGCCAUUUGAAUAUUACAGUAUAAAUAUUUUUCAGCACAUGUUAUGGAUUAGUGUCCCGACCGGCAGGACACAUCAACGAGGGCCGCGAACCUAGGUGGGGAGGAAUGAAGGGACAAGAGACAGGAGGGAUGACAGCAAGACAGGAGUUCUGAUCAAGCUGCACACUUUCAUUGUUCACACAGGGGUAUUUAUAUGCUGGGGGUAGGGAAGCUCUCUAAUCAGCAGUUGCUGGAUGUGGGUGGUAAAACUGCCAGCUGCAAGAUGUCUGAUGAUCCUGAUAACCGCAGGAUGUUCCAGGGAGAUAGGUAGCUGCAGGAUGUCUCCCAGGCAGGAUGUCUCCCAGGGGGCUGUUUAUUGUAAAUGUCAGGCUAUUCUUUAAAGGAGAAUUUCCUUCUAGCCCCUGACAGAUUAGAUUUAAGAUGUCGACAAUGCAAGCAAGAAAGUUUAGAGGUGAAAAUGAUUGGGUUAGGAGAGUAUUAACCCAAUCAGUGCAUUCGUCAGCUUGAAUGGAUUAGUUGGGUUAACUAUAGGCAGGGAGGGUGUGGCUGAAGAAGGUACAGCACUGGGAGCACAUCUUUGGG